GAGAAGGGUGAAUAUGUGUGUAGGCCAAAAACACAAAUCUCAAUGCAAUAAAAGUAAAUGCAGAAAAUAAAAUAACACACUGAGAUUUACGUGGAAAAACUCCAAUUUGGAGAAAAAAAUCACAGGACCAACACGUGAAAAAAUAAUUCACUAAGAGAAAAAGAUUACAAGGUGAUUACCGAUUCCACGAACUCGACCCUCUCUUUUACCUCCUACGAAUAUCGCGCACGUCACCGGGUUGUCCGCGCCCUACAUCCAAAUCCACGGACGCCACUGUCAC
RNAcentral lists this long non-coding RNA (280 nucleotides) under Ananas comosus (pineapple). RNAcentral describes it as "long non-coding RNA (ACOM_LNC022180)". The record is from RNAcentral. Lineage: Eukaryota; Viridiplantae; Streptophyta; Magnoliopsida; Poales; Bromeliaceae.